CAGCAGCCGCGGUAAUACGUAGGUGGCAAGCGUUGUCCGGAAUUAUUGGGCGUAAAGGGCUCGCAGGCGGUUUCUUAAGUCUGAUGUGAAAGCCCCCGGCUCAACCGGGGAGGGUCAUUGGAGACUGGGAAACUUGAGUGCAGAAGAGGAGAGUGGAAUUCCACGUGUAGCGGUGAAAUGCGUAGAGAUGUGGAGGAACACCAGUGGCGAAGGCGACUCUCUGGUCUGUAACUGACGCUGAGGAGCGAAAGCGUGGGGAGCGAACAGGAUUAGAUACCCCCGUAGUCCCUGUCUCUUAUAA
Molecule: ribosomal RNA, 301 nt
Filed under: uncultured bacterium
Lineage: Bacteria
Description: partial 16S ribosomal RNA
Rfam family: Bacterial small subunit ribosomal RNA
Source: RNAcentral